CUCUUAUCCUGAGCUGGUGGAGGGACUGGCCCGAUGAAACCCAGCAACCUACUAUGUGAAGAAAAUUACUGAAUCAUUCAUGUUUACAUGUAAUGGGACAGACAUUCUCUUAGGAAAGGUGCUAACCUGAAGCAAGGAAAUUCUUCCUUGAACGAUAAGAG
RNAcentral lists this non-coding RNA (161 nucleotides) under Niallia circulans. RNAcentral's name for it is "Bacillus circulans SAM-I sequence". It matches the Rfam family "SAM riboswitch aptamer (S box leader)". From Rfam's summary of the family: The SAM riboswitch is found upstream of a number of genes which code for proteins involved in methionine or cysteine biosynthesis in Gram-positive bacteria. Lineage: Bacteria; Bacillati; Bacillota; Bacilli; Caryophanales; Bacillaceae. The record is from Rfam by way of RNAcentral.